GACGAACGCUGGCGGCGUGCCUAAUACAUGCAAGUCGAGCGGACGAAUCGAAAGCUUGCUUUUGAUUCGUUAGCGGCGGACGGGUGAGUAACACGUGGGCAACCUGCCCUGUAGACGGGGAUAACACCGAGAAAUCGGUGCUAAUACCGGAUAACACGAAAUGUCGCAUGACGUUUCGUUGAAAGACGGCGCAAGCUGUCGCUACAGGAUGGGCCCGCGGCGCAUUAGCUAGUUGGUGUGGUAACGGCUCACCAAGGCGACGAUGCGUAGCCGACCUGAGAGGGUGAUCGGCCACACUGGGACUGAGACACGGCCCAGACUCCUACGGGAGGCAGCAGUGGGGAAUCUUCCGCAAUGGACGAAAGUCUGACGGAGCAACGGCGCGUGAGCGAAGAAGGCCUUCGGGUCGUAAAGCUCUGUUGUUAGGGAAGAACAAGUAACGCAGUAACUGGCGUUACCGUGACGGUACCUAAAGAGAAAGCCACGGCUAACUACGU
This 497-nucleotide ribosomal RNA is filed under the name uncultured bacterium. Its description in RNAcentral is "partial 16S ribosomal RNA". It matches the Rfam family "Bacterial small subunit ribosomal RNA", at positions 28 to 506 of the family's 1533-position model. The record is from RNAcentral.